UACGAAGGGGGCUAGCGUUGCUCGGAAUCGCUGGGCGUAAAGGGUGCGUAGGCGGGUCUUUAAGUCAGGGGUGAAAUCCUGGAGCUCAACUCCAGAACUGCCUUUGAUACUGAAGAUCUUGAGUUCGGGAGAGGUGAGUGGAACUGCGAGUGUAGAGGUGAAAUUCGUAGAUAUUCGCAAGAACACCAGUGGCGAAGGCGGCUCACUGGCCCGAUACUGACGCUGAUGCACGAAAGCGUGGGGAGCAAACAGG
RNAcentral lists this ribosomal RNA (253 nucleotides) under uncultured bacterium. RNAcentral describes it as "partial 16S ribosomal RNA". It matches the Rfam family "Bacterial small subunit ribosomal RNA", at positions 524 to 776 of the family's 1533-position model. The record is from RNAcentral.